Molecule: transfer RNA, 73 nt
Filed under: Candidatus Daviesbacteria bacterium
Lineage: Bacteria; Candidatus Daviesiibacteriota
Description: tRNA-Tyr
Rfam family: tRNA
About the family: Transfer RNA (tRNA) molecules are approximately 80 nucleotides in length.
Source: RNAcentral
CCUGAGGUGGCAGAACGGUUGAUGCGCGGGUCUGUAAAACCCGUUUAAGUAGGUUCAACUCCUACCCUCAGGA